This 739-nucleotide long non-coding RNA is filed under the name Marmota monax (woodchuck). Lineage: Eukaryota; Metazoa; Chordata; Mammalia; Rodentia; Sciuridae. The record is from RNAcentral.
CGCACCCGGAGCCGGUGCCUUUUAGGUGUGACACAUGUCCGAGUCGGAGCGGAAGUGGCUUCCCGUCGGGAUCCGUAGGGCGGUGGGGAGCUAGCUGCGGCAGCGACGGUGGCGGUGGUGGCAAAGCUCUGUUCACAGCGUACCGUGUCGGUCCUGCAGCGGUUGCUCAGUACCGGGCGGUAGCAGCAACUGCCACGACUCACGGGGAGAGCUUGGAAGAGCAGCGAGGAACGCCAGGAAAGGGGUGUGUCUGGAGGGACGUGAUAUAUUUGGUGUCGAGAGAAGGACCUGAAACUUGUUCCUCGUAAUAGUUGAUUGCUUUUUCCUCUUUUGAUAACAGAUUCUGGAGACAUUCGACGUCUCCGUUCUCUAUUUUCUCGGCCCUUCUCAGUUUAUUCGUAAACUGAUGUGAGUGAGAGCUUUUUAGUGCAACCUCUGAGUUAAGGUGCGUAUGGGGCGGAUGAAGCCGUCAGAGGAAAAAGAAAUGGGAGAGUGGGAGCCAGGUAGGAGGUGGUAUGAGGGAUGAGGGAACAAGAUGAUGAUAUUCAAGUUAACGUUUACAAGGUUUAUGGUACUAGACACUGUUCUGAAACCCUUUAGAUGUGGUAAUUCAUUUAGUUUUUUGAGGUUGGUACUCUCAAUUAGUCUUAUUUUACAAAUGGUGAAACGGAGGCUUAUUAUUUAUACCUCAUAGCAACCUAGAAGUUAAGGAACAUGUCCAGAGAAAGGCAAAUGAAAA